Equus caballus (horse) is the source of this 4854-nucleotide long non-coding RNA. Lineage: Eukaryota; Metazoa; Chordata; Mammalia; Perissodactyla; Equidae. The record is from Ensembl.
AUGCAAGUUACACAAGCUUGCUACAAAAACACAGGCCUGAGGUACUUGGGGGUGGUAAGGGUUGGAAUCUGUGGCGAUCAUCAGCUCCUGGGGAAGCAGAGCUGGAAAACGGCUCACAGAGCUCUGGAGCCAAUGCCCUCCUUUAUCAGGAGAUGGCUAGGCUUCUGGGGAAACUGAGGCCCAUGAGGGGAAGUGAGGGGUUCAACCCUUCCAGCAAGAUAUGGAUACUCUAGGAGGUUAAAGGCUAGUGAGAGGUGACUGGAUCAAAGCUCUUUAAAAUGACAACAAUAAAGGUUUUUUAUUAUGGCAAUUUAAAAAUUGUCCACAAAAGUAGAAAGAAUGGUUUAAGGGACCCUUGCUUCCUCCAUUCAGCUUAAUAAUUAUCAAUAUUUUGCCAAUCUCAUUUCAUCUAUCACCUCCUGACAAGUUUAGAGUGGCAAGUAGAAUUUUAAAAAUAAAUCCCAGAAUCCAAUUAUUUUACACAUUACACUCCAGAGUCCAAAUUCAUUUUUUAAUUUUUUUUAAAGAUUGGCACCUGAGCUAACAACUGUUGCCAAUCUUCUUUUCUUUUUUCCCCUGGUUUUUCUCCCCAAAUCCCCCCAAUACAUAGUUGUAUAUUUUAGUUGUGGGUCCUUCUAGUUGUGUCCAAAUUCGUUUUGAUGGAGGAUUCUGGGGAGAAAAUGAGGCCGAGAUCAGUCCUCUGCGGCAGAACCAGCUGCUGUGGCUUGGGGAGGGUGCUGCUGUUUCCUGCAACUUUUGAAGGAAGGUUUGCACACAUCCCUCCAUCCCCGGGCCUUGAAGUCAGGUUGCAACCUCCCUCCGCCAUGAGUAAUGCUGGGCCCGCCAGACUCAGGCAGCUCCCGGUGGAAAAAAACACCUUGUGAAAUACUGUCUGUAACCAGGAUGAGAGAAAAAAAAUCUUUUGUGGAUCCCUUAUUCACAAUCAUCCUCCUCUUCUAAAUGCAGCCUCCUUCCUGCUAGCGGCCUUGGAGCCCAGCCUGGGUGUCGAUGUCAGCUGAGUCACCUGUGUCAUUCCUAUUAUCUUAUUUACCCGUGUUUGUCAUUUUCUAGCAGCAUGACUCACCCGGCCUGGGGGGAAUCUGGGAGCCUGAAGAGACGAGUCUGUUAUCAAACCCUCACAGCCACUCCUUUGGAAGAAAAAUUCUUUCCCUUUGAACUCUGAGCACCCAAAAGAAGGGGUGUGACAGGCCGAGGGAACAUUUGGGACUUUUGGAAGGGCUGCCGGUCACAUGGUGCCAGGCUCUGGGUCAGGUCUAGGCAGCCUCGUGGAAUUCUGGGAAACUCUCUGCUCCCGCUCUUCAACCUGGCUGCUGGGUCUUCCCAGAGGGUGUGCCAUUCUCCAUCACGUGGAACUGGGCCCUACAGUGGCCGAGGAGAGAAAGCUCUCGAUCCAGCACACAAAGGCGCAUCCCCCAUGGGAGGCAGACAAGGUGACAAGCAGGAAGAGGACCGUUUCCUCAGCCCUCAAGCAUCCCCACUCUGCCCACUCCCAGAUUUGAUAAUAACAACGACCCCUGUGCACUGUUGGCCUCCUAUGCUGGGCACAGGUGCUAUGCUUGCUUCCCUGCAUACAUUCCUGCUUGGAGAGAGCAGGGGAAUCCUUUUAUGUCGUCUCUGGGCCACAGCAGACACUGGGCCUCCCCUUCCACUGUAGCCCACCACCUCCCUGCCACCAAAGGCUUUGUCCUUUACACAGCGGCAGGGAUGACCCUUCCAUGUGGUAGGACAGCUCACAACACUGCCCUGUUUCAAACUCUCCAGGGGCUUCCCUUGGCCCUUAAAAUAAAUCCACAUCCUCACCAUGACCGACAGCCUUGGUAGUCAAAGUGUGGUCCACCAGCCUCAGGUGGAGGGGUUGGGGAGGAGGCCUUGUUAGAAAAGCAGAGUCUCGAGGCCGGCUCUGUUGCCAAGUGGUUAAGUUCGCGCGCUCCGCUGCAGCAGCCCAGGGUUUGGAUCCUGGGCGCGGACAUGGCACUGCUGGUCAGGCCACGUUGAGGUGGCAUCCCACAUCCCACAACUAGAAGCACCUGCAACUAAGAUAUACAACUGUGUACGGGGGGGUUUGGGGAGAUAAAGCAGAAAAAAAAAUUGGCAACAGUUGUUAGCCCAGGUGCCAAUCCUUUAAAAAAAAGAAGAUUGGCAACAGUUGUUAGCCCAGGUGCCAAUCUUAAAAAAAAAAAAAAGAAAAGCAGUCUCGGGUCCCACUCCAGACUUGCUGAAUCAAAGCUGCGGUUUAAUGAGAUUGCACGUGAUCCAUAUCACAUUAAAGUGUGAGAUGCCCCUGCAACCUACAAGGGCCUGGUGGAUGGAGCCCAAGGUUACUGCGUAGGAGAAUCACCUGGGGAGUCUUUAGAACAAUGAUGCCCAGCCCCCAGGCCCCUGGGAUCCUGAUUCAAUCGCUCCUCAAUACCACCUAGAAAGGCCUGCACACUAAACCAGCAGUCUACAUGGUCUCCACUCUUCCUUUGGGUGCCUCCAACUCCUUACCUGUCAAAUGUGGAGGCUGACAAGAUGCUUUCUAGAAGCUCUUAGAGCUCUGACGUUGGACACUCCCAUGGCGAAGCACAGGGGAGAAUUCCUUAUUCAAAAGAACCCUUCAGUGCAAGGAGAAUCUUCCAGAAAUGGAAAUUUGUAUGCCUCCUACAAGCGUUUAGCCUAUUUGUGUUUAUGUGCCCUGUUAAUUGGAUCUGCAGCCUAUGAUAUCUCGUUUUAAUUUAACUAAUCCUCACAAAAUAGACAAGUGAUUUAAAUGAUUACUGAGAAGAAACUGCAAACUGGAGAUAAUAUUAAUGACACAAGCCCAGGGGACCAGCAGAAUGCUGAUGUGCUAUUUCUGCAACUCCUAGUGCUGCCUCUUUUCAGCUAAUUACAGGAUAAAAAGAAUGGCGGGCUAAUUACAUCAAUCACAACAUUGGCCAAAAGACUGGAAAAAUUAAGAAGACUAUUUGAAGCAUGGUCUUUCAUCCACUAUCAUUAAUGAUGACUCUCUCCUUGAGUGAAUAUUGGAUCUUGACGUAGCUAAUGAGAGUGUGCAGCCAUUGCAAUGAACAAAAUGUUUAGAAACUUCUUUCAGCUACUUAAAGUCAUAAUAUACUCAAUCCAGCCCUUUACAAAAUUUGAUUAAAUUUUUGAUAAUUUUGAAUUUACUACUUAAUUUUGAAAGUGAAAGUCCAUAGCCCAUUGGUCAAACACUUGCUCUACAUGCUAUAGUGAAAAUAGCUGAAGAAAUAUCUGAAAACUAUAUAGUGACACAUUAAAAUAGACUCCUUGGUCAUUAAACAUUUUUGGAAGAUGCAUAGAACUUGUUGUUAAAGAAUUGAAGAAAUGUUAAAACAAAUAAUUCAUUGUGAGAAGUUUACCCUACAACUGUUGGAAAGUAGUACAGAUGUUUCAACAUAUUUUGGCUUAUGCUAUUUCCAGAUUCUUCAUGGCAAUAAUAAAAUCUGUUGGAGGACCCUUUCUUAUGAGUUCAGAAAAAAGCACUUUCUCAAUGGUAAAUGAGUUUCUUAACAAAAGCAAUGUUUUGGUUUUAUGUUGACAGGAAUGAAAAAAUAGGUAAAUUUCACAAGCUAGUACCUUAUGUGAAAUUUAUUUGCUGCAUUUUCUUUUUAAAGAUUGGCACCUGGGCUAACAACUGUUGCCAAUCUUCCUUUUUUUUUUGUUUUUAAAGAUCGGCACCUGGGCUAACAACUGUUGCCAGUCUUCCUUUUUUUUUUUUAAAGAUUGGUACCUGGGCUAACAACUGUUGCCAGUCUUUUUUUUUUUCUGCUUUCUCUCCCCCAACCCUCCCGUACACAGUUGUAUAUCUUAGUUGCAUGUCCUUCUAGUUGUGGGAUGUGGGAUGCCGCCUCAACGUGGCCUGAUGAGCGGUGCCAUGUCCGCGCCCAGGAUCCGAACCCUGGGCCGCCACAGAGGAGCGCGCGAACUUAACCACUCAGCCACGGAGCUGGCCCCUUGCUGCGUUUUCUAUAGCAAGCUAUUGAAGUCAGGAACAAAGCCACAAAAGCACAGGGCACGAUAGGAUGUCACUGAUGGGGAUCAUUAUACAGAGACAGGAACUUUACAAUAUAGAAGAAUCUGUGCAAUACUUCAUCAUUAGAUAGGCAGUGCACCUGAAAAUAUUUCGUUCAAGCAGAGACUCCUUCAUUCUCUUUUGCAAAGUAUUUGAAGCAAUGAGAGAACAUAAAAUCAAGGUUCUAAAUGAUUUGAUCUUUUCAAGGAUGACAAAUGACUGUCAGGAGUCUAAGUUUUCCCUUCAGGGUAAGUGUCACGAUUUAAUAAUAAAUGAGAUGGUAACUGCCUUUCAAAAGAAACGUGUAAACCACAGAGAGAGACCUUCAUACAUGCACCAAAAUGGCCACAAUGAAAAAGACAGACAAUCCCAAGAGUGGAUGAGAAUGUGGAGCAGCCAGAACUCCCACAGUGGUGGGAGUGUAAAUUCGUGGAACCGGUUCAGGCAACUGUCUGGCAGUAUCUGCAAAAGCAGAACAGAAGGAAACCCAAGGACCCAGCAAUUCUACCUUAGGAGUGCACCCAAUGGAAAUAGAAAUGUGUUCACCAAAAGUCAGGCAGUGAAACGGGCAUAGCAGCGUUAUUCCUAACACACGAACCCUGGAAUUUACCCAAAUGCCCACUCAAAGCGAAAUGAAUAAACUUACUGGUGUGUAUUCCCACAAGACAGUACUACAUGCAGUGAGAACAAAUGAUCUGUGACAACCUCAGUGACAUGGAUGAAACUCACAAAUGACAUUUUGGGCAAAAGGAGCCAGACAUCAAAAAGGGUGCCUCCUGUAUGAUUCCACUUACAUGAGGUUAAAAAAAAAGGCAAAACUA